AUGAGAAAUGGCUACUAUUUCUAAGGAAAGCAGCAGGCGCGUAAAUUAUUCAAUGGGAAUAUCUUCCCGAAAUAGUGACAAAAAAUACUAAUGUAUUAAACUUUGUUUAGUACAAUUGGAAUGGAAACAAUCCAAAACCCUUAUUGAGUAACAAUUAGAGGGCAAGUCUGGUGCCAGCAGCCGCGGUAAUUCCAGCUCUAAUAGCGUAUAUUAAUACUGUUGCAGUUAAAAACGCUCGUAGUUGAACUUAGAAUUAUUACAGGUUAGUUUAAUUGAUUUUAAACUGCUUGCUUAGUUCUUAUCUACUAGAUACUCUAUUCUGUACUUAAUUGUAUGGAAUAUCACCUAGCCAGUGGGACUUUGGUAGAAUAAUGCCUUUUUUAAUACCAGAGUGUAAAAACUUGAAGUAUUAAAUUGGGAUCACAUUAUUUUAUUG
RNAcentral lists this ribosomal RNA (436 nucleotides) under uncultured eukaryote. Its description in RNAcentral is "bacterial SSU rRNA". It matches the Rfam family "Eukaryotic small subunit ribosomal RNA", at positions 396 to 843 of the family's 1831-position model. The record is from RNAcentral.